Molecule: ribosomal RNA, 497 nt
Filed under: uncultured bacterium
Lineage: Bacteria
Description: partial 16S ribosomal RNA
Rfam family: Bacterial small subunit ribosomal RNA
Source: RNAcentral
GAUGAACGCUGGCGGCGUGCCUAAUACAUGCAAGUCGAGCGAACGGACGAGAAGCUUGCUUCUCUGAUGUUAGCGGCGGACGGGUGAGUAACACGUGGAUAACCUACCUAUAAGACUGGGAUAACCUCGGGAAACCGGAGCUAAUACCGGAUGAUAUUUUGAACCGCAUGGUUCAAAAGUGAAAGACGGUCUUGCUGUCACUUAUAGAUGGAUCCGCGCUGCAUUAGCUAGUUGGUAAGGUAACGGCUUACCAAGGCAACGAUGCAUAGCCGACCUGAGAGGGUGAUCGGCCACACUGGAACUGAGACACGGUCCAGACUCCUACGGGAGGCAGCAGUAGGGAAUCUUCCGCAAUGGGCGAAAGCCUGACGGAGCAACGCCGCGUGAGUGAUGAAGGUCUUCGGAUCGUAAAACUCUGUUAUUAGGGAAGAACAUAUGUGUAAGUAACUGUGCACAUCUUGAUGGUACCUAAUCAGAAAGCCACGGCUAACUACGUG